RNAcentral lists this ribosomal RNA (253 nucleotides) under uncultured bacterium. Its description in RNAcentral is "partial 16S ribosomal RNA". It matches the Rfam family "Bacterial small subunit ribosomal RNA", at positions 524 to 776 of the family's 1533-position model. The record is from RNAcentral.
UACGAAGGGUGCAAGCGUUAAUCGGAAUUACUGGGCGUAAAGCGCGCGUAGGUGGUUCAGUAAGUUGAAGGUGAAAUCCCCGGGCUCAACCUGGGAACUGCCUCCAAAACUGCUGAGCUAGAGUAUGGUAGAGGGUAGUGGAAUUUCCUGUGUAGCGGUGAAAUGCGUAGAUAUAGGAAGGAACACCAGUGGCGAGGGCGACUACCUGGACUAAUACUGACACUGAGGUGCGAAAGCGUGGGGAGCAAACAGG